RNAcentral lists this ribosomal RNA (670 nucleotides) under Sphingobacterium mizutaii. RNAcentral's name for it is "bacterial SSU rRNA". It matches the Rfam family "Bacterial small subunit ribosomal RNA", at positions 66 to 727 of the family's 1533-position model. Lineage: Bacteria; Pseudomonadati; Bacteroidota; Sphingobacteriia; Sphingobacteriales; Sphingobacteriaceae. The record is from RNAcentral.
ACGGGAUCCAUCGGUAGCUUGCUACCGAUGGUGAGAGUGGCGCACGGGUGCGUAACGCGUGAGCAACCUGCCCAUAUCAGGGGGAUAGCCCGGAGAAAUCCGGAUUAACACCGCAUGACACUGCUUUCCGGCAUCGGGAGGUAGUCAAAUAUUCAUAGGAUAUGGAUGGGCUCGCGUGACAUUAGCUAGUUGGUGGGGUAACGGCCCACCAAGGCGACGAUGUCUAGGGGCUCUGAGAGGAGAAUCCCCCACACUGGUACUGAGACACGGACCAGACUCCUACGGGAGGCAGCAGUAAGGAAUAUUGGUCAAUGGGGGCAACCCUGAACCAGCCAUGCCGCGUGCAGGACGACUGCCCUAUGGGUUGUAAACUGCUUUUGUUAGGGAAUAAACCCCGCUACGUGUAGCGGGCUGAAUGUACCUAAAGAAUAAGGAUCGGCUAACUCCGUGCCAGCAGCCGCGGUAAUACGGAGGAUCCGAGCGUUAUCCGGAUUUAUUGGGUUUAAAGGGUGCGUAGGCGGCACUUUAAGUCAGGGGUGAAAGACGGCAGCUCAACUGUCGCAGUGCCCUUGAUACUGAAGUGCUUGAAUGCGGUUGAAGACGGCGGAAUGAGACAAGUAGCGGUGAAAUGCAUAGAUAUGUCUCAGAACACCGAUUGCGAAGGCAGCUG